AACUGGAGAGUUUGAUUCUGGCUCAGAAUGAACGCUGGCGGCGUGCUUAACACAUGCAAGUCGAACGAGAAAGGGAUUGCUUGCAAUCCUGAGUAGAGUGGCGCACGGGUGAGUAACACGUGGAUAAUCUACCUUUGAAUCCGGGAUAACUGUUCGAAAGAAUCGCUAAUACCGGAUGAAGUCAGUNUUUCCUUGGAAGGAUUGAUGAAAGACAGCCUCUUCUUGAAAGCUNUUGUUUGAAGAUGAGUCCGCGCACCAUUAGUUNGUUGGUGGGGUAACGGCCUACCAAGACNUUNAUGGUUAGCUGGUCUGAGAGGAUGAUCAGCCACNCUGGAACUGACACACGGUCCNGACUCCUNCGGGAGGCAGCAGUGAGGAAUUUUGCGCAAUGGGNGCNACCCUNACGCAGCAACGCCGCGUGAGUGAAGAAGGCCUNUGGGUCGUAAAGCUCUGUCAAUGGGGAAGAAGUURCUUCAUAUUAAURGUAUGUNGUAUUGACGGUACCCAUNNNNGAAGCACCGGCNNACUCCGUGCCAGCANNNNCGGUAAUANGGAGNGUGCNAGCGUNAUUCGGAAUNAUUNGGNGUNAAGGGCACGCAGGCGGUNUUGCCAGUCAGAUGUGAAAGCCCGGGGCUCAACCCUGGAAGUGCAUUUGAAACUACAAGGCUUGAGUACGGUNGAGGAAAGGGGNAUUCCUNGUGUAGAGGUGAAAUUCGUAGAUAUCAGGAGGAACACCGGUGGCGAAGGCGCCNNUCUGGACCSNNACUGACGCUNAGGUNCNAAGGCGUGGGNAGCGAACAGGAUUAGAUACCCUGGUAGUCCACGCAGUAAACGUUGUAUACUAGGUGUAGCGGGNUAUUGACCCNUGCUGUGCCGGAGCUAACGCAUUAAGUAUACCGCCUGGGAAGUACGGUCGCAAGACUAAAACUCAAAGAAAUUGACGGGGGCCCGCACAAGCGGUGGAGCAUGUGGUUUAAUUCGANNCAACGCGCAGAACCUUACCCAGACUUGACAUCCUGAGAAUCUGUUAGAGAUAUUAGAGUGCCUUCGGGAACUCAGAGACAGGUGCUGCAUGGCUGUCGUCAGCUCGUGUCGUGAGAUGUUCGGUUAAGUCCGGCAACGAGCGCAACCCCUAUCUUCAGUUGCCAGCACAUCAUGGUGGGAACUCUGAAGAGACUGCCCCGGUUAACGGGGAGGAAGGNGGGGAUGACGUCAAGUCCUCAUGGCCCUUAUGUCUGGGGCUACACACGUGNUACAAUGGUAUGUACNACGGGCAGCGAACCUGCNNAGGUGNGCGAAUCCCUNAAAGCAUAUCCCAGUCCGGAUUGGAGUCUGCAACUCGACUCCAUGAAGUUGGAAUCGCUAGUAAUCGUGGA
Molecule: ribosomal RNA, 1376 nt
Filed under: Desulforapulum autotrophicum
Lineage: Bacteria; Pseudomonadati; Thermodesulfobacteriota; Desulfobacteria; Desulfobacterales; Desulfobacteraceae
Description: Desulfobacterium autotrophicum partial ribosomal RNA
Rfam family: Bacterial small subunit ribosomal RNA
Source: RNAcentral